GACCAACGCUAGCGGCCCGCUUAACACAUGCAAGUCGAACGGUAAGGCCCUGCAUGCGUGGGGCACUCGAGUGGCAAACUGGUGCGUACCACGUCAGUAACCUGCCCUUGACUUUGGUUUAACCUCACUUAACUGUGGCCAAUACCGGAAUGCACCUCCUGCUGCACGGUUGGGCUUGGAACCUUUCGGCGGUUGGGGAUGGACUCGCGGCUUACCAGCUUGUUGGUGGGGUACUGGCUUACCAAGGCUUUGCCGGGUUGCCGGCCUGAGAGGGUGACCAGCCACAUUGGUACUGAGAUACGGCCGGAACCCCUACGGGAGCCAGCAUUAAGGGGUAGAGCCCGAUGAGCGGAAGCCGGAUGCAGCAACGCCGCGUGCGGGAUGGGGGCCUGCUGUUGGUAAUCCGCUUACGCCUGUGACGAAGCUUAAGUGACGGUACUAGGUCAAUAAGCACCGGCUAACUACGUG
RNAcentral lists this ribosomal RNA (468 nucleotides) under uncultured bacterium. RNAcentral's name for it is "partial 16S ribosomal RNA". It matches the Rfam family "Bacterial small subunit ribosomal RNA", at positions 28 to 507 of the family's 1533-position model. The record is from RNAcentral.